AACGAACGCUGGCGGCGCGCCUAAUACAUGCAAGUCGAGCGAGAAGACGUAGCAAUACGUUUGUAAAGCGGCGAACGGGUGAGGAAUACAUGGGUAACCUACCCUCGAGUGGGGAAUAACUAGCCGAAAGGUUAGCUAAUACCGCGUACGCUCCUUGGACUUCGGUUCAGGGAGGAAAGCGAUACCGUGGGUAUCGCGCUCUUGGAUGGGCUCAUGUCCUAUCAGCUUGUUGGUGAGGAACGGCUCACCAAGGCUUCGACGGGUAGCUGGUCUGAGAGGACGAUCAGCCACACUGGCACUGCGACACGGGCCAGACUCCUACGGGAGGCAGCAGUAAGGAAUAUUGCGCAAUGGGCGAAAGCCUGACGCAGCGACGCCGCGUGGGGGAGUGAAGGUCUUCGGA
RNAcentral lists this ribosomal RNA (403 nucleotides) under uncultured bacterium. RNAcentral's name for it is "bacterial SSU rRNA". It matches the Rfam family "Bacterial small subunit ribosomal RNA", at positions 29 to 422 of the family's 1533-position model. The record is from RNAcentral.